GAGUUUGAUCCUGGCUCAGAACGAACGUUGGCGGCGUGGAUUAGGCAUGCAAGUCGGGGGUGCCAGCAAUGGCAACCGGCGUAAGGGGCAGUAAGGCAUGGGUACCUACCUCGGGGUUCGGGAUAGCCAUCAGAGACGGUGGGUAAUACCGGAUGACCUCGCGAGAGCAAAGAUUUAUCGCCCGGAGAGGGGCCCAUGUGAUAUUAGCUAGUUGGCGGGGUAAUGGCCCACCAAGGCUUAGAUGUCUAGCGGGUGUGAGAGCACGACCCGCGCCACUCGCACUGAGACACUGGCGAGACACCUACGGGUGGCUGCAGUCGAGGAUCUUCGGCAAUGGGGGCAACCCUGACCGAGCGACGCCGCGUGUGCGACGAAGGCCUUCGGGUUGUAAAGCACUGUCGAGGGGGAGAAAGGCCGCAAGGCGUGAUCUAUCCCUGGAGGAAGCUCGGGCUAAGUUCGUGCCAGCAGCCGCGGUAAGACGAACCGAGCGAACGUUGUUCGGAAUAACUGGGCUUAAAGGGCGCGUAGGCGGGCUCCCAAGUUCGAGGUGAAAUCCUCCGGCUCAACCGGAGAACUGCCUCGAAUACUGGAGGCCUCGAGGCGGGUAGGGGCGUGCGGAACUGUGGGUGGAGCGGUGAAAUGCGUUGAUAUCCACAGGAACUCCGGUGGCGAAGGCGGCACGCUGGACCCGAUCUGACGCUGAGGCGCGAAAGCCAGGGGAGCAAACGGGAUUAGAUA
Molecule: ribosomal RNA, 738 nt
Filed under: uncultured Planctomycetota bacterium
Lineage: Bacteria; Pseudomonadati; Planctomycetota
Description: bacterial SSU rRNA
Rfam family: Bacterial small subunit ribosomal RNA
Source: RNAcentral